This 492-nucleotide ribosomal RNA is filed under the name uncultured bacterium. RNAcentral describes it as "partial 16S ribosomal RNA". It matches the Rfam family "Bacterial small subunit ribosomal RNA", at positions 29 to 507 of the family's 1533-position model. The record is from RNAcentral.
AGUGAACGCUGGCGGUAGGCCUAACACAUGCAAGUCGAACGGCAGCACAGUAAGAGCUUGCUCUUACGGGUGGCGAGUGGCGGACGGGUGAGGAAUACAUCGGAAUCUACUUUUUCGUGGGGGAUAACGUAGGGAAACUUACGCUAAUACCGCAUACGACCUACGGGUGAAAGCAGGGGAUCUUCGGACCUUGCGCGAUUGAAUGAGCCGAUGUCGGAUUAGCUAGUUGGCGUGGUAAAGGCCCACCAAGGCGGCGAUCCGUAGCUGGUCUGAGGGGAUGAUCAGCAACACUGGAACGGGGACACGGACCAGACUCCUACGGGAGGCAGCAGUGGGGAAUAUUGGACAAGGGGCGCAAGCCUGAUCCAGCCAUACCGCGUGGGUGAAGAAGGCCUUCGGGUUGUAGAGCCCUUUUGUUGGGAAAGAAAAGCAGCAGGUUAAUACCCCGCUGUUCUGACGGUACCCAAAGAAUAAGCACCGGCUAACUUCGUG